Molecule: microRNA, 19 nt
Filed under: Homo sapiens (human)
Lineage: Eukaryota; Metazoa; Chordata; Mammalia; Primates; Hominidae
Description: hsa-miR-3181
Source: miRBase by way of RNAcentral
AUCGGGCCCUCGGCGCCGG